RNAcentral lists this ribosomal RNA (558 nucleotides) under uncultured eukaryote. Its description in RNAcentral is "partial 18S ribosomal RNA". The record is from RNAcentral.
ACCAGACUUGGCCCAUGGAUCCUCGUUAAGGGAUUUAAAUUGUACUCAUUCCAAUUACCAGACCUGAAAGGCCCGGUAUUGUUAUUUCUUGUCACUACCUCCCUGUGUCAGGAUUGGGUAAUUUGCGCGCCUGCUGCCCUCCUUGGAUGUGGUAGCCGUUUCUCAGGCUCCCUCUCCGGAACCGAACCCUAAUUCUCCGUCACCCGUUAAUGCCAUGGUAAGCCACGACCUUACCAUCGAAAGCUGAUAGGGCAGAAAUUUGAAUGAACUAUCGCCAGCCUGAAGCCGUGCGAUUCGAUCAGUUACUAUGAAUCACCAAAGAACGGGUUGCCCCGGUUGGUUUUGUAUCUAAUAAAUACAGCGCUUCCCGAAAGUCGCGCUUUUACGCAUGUAUUAGCUCUAGAAUUACUACAGUUAUCCAUGUAGUGAAGUACCAUCAAAGAAAUAAUCACUGAUAUAAUGAGCCGUUCGCAGUUUCACAGUAUAAAGAUGUUUAUACUUAGACAUGCAUGGCUUAAUCUUUGAGACAAGCAUAUGACUACUGGCAGGAUCAACCAG